UACGUAGGGGGCAAGCGUUGUCCGGAAUUAUUGGGCGUAAAGAGCUCGUAGGCGGUCUGUCGCGUCGAUCGUGAAAACUUGGGGCUUAACCCUGAGCUUGCGGUCGAUACGGGCAUGACUGGAGUUCGGCAGGGGAGACUGGAAUUCCUGGUGUAGCGGUGAAAUGCGCAGAUAUCAGGAGGAACACCGGUGGCGAAGGCGGCCAUCUGGACAGAUACUGACGCUGAGACGCGAAAGCGUGGGGAGCAAACAGG
This 254-nucleotide ribosomal RNA is filed under the name uncultured bacterium. RNAcentral's name for it is "partial 16S ribosomal RNA". It matches the Rfam family "Bacterial small subunit ribosomal RNA", at positions 524 to 776 of the family's 1533-position model. The record is from RNAcentral.